UACGUAGGUGGCAAGCGUUGUCCGGAUUUAUUGGGUUUAAAGGGUGCGUAGGCGGCUUUAUAAGUCAGUGCUGAAAUAUCCCGGCUUAACCGGGAGGGUGGCAUUGAUACUGCAGAGCUUGAGUGAAGUCGAGGUAGGCGGAAUUGACGGUGUAGCGGUGAAAUGCUUAGAUAUCGUCAAGAACACCGAUAGUGAAGACAGCUUACUAGACUUCAACUGACGCUGAGGCACGAAAGUGUGGGGAUCAAACAGG
RNAcentral lists this ribosomal RNA (253 nucleotides) under uncultured bacterium. Its description in RNAcentral is "partial 16S ribosomal RNA". It matches the Rfam family "Bacterial small subunit ribosomal RNA", at positions 524 to 776 of the family's 1533-position model. The record is from RNAcentral.